RNAcentral lists this transfer RNA (90 nucleotides) under Rhodospirillaceae bacterium. RNAcentral describes it as "tRNA-Ser". It matches the Rfam family "tRNA". From Rfam's summary of the family: Transfer RNA (tRNA) molecules are approximately 80 nucleotides in length. Their secondary structure includes four short double-helical elements and three loops (D, anti-codon, and T loops). Further hydrogen bonds mediate the characteristic L-shaped molecular structure. tRNAs have two regions of fundamental functional importance: the anti-codon, which is responsible for specific mRNA codon recognition, and the 3' end, to which the tRNAs corresponding amino acid is attached (by aminoacyl-tRNA synthetases). tRNAs cope with the degeneracy of the genetic code in two manners: having more than one tRNA (with a specific anti-codon) for a particular amino acid; and 'wobble' base-pairing, i.e. permitting non-standard base-pairing at the 3rd anti-codon position. RNAcentral also lists the same sequence under 1 other name. Lineage: Bacteria; Pseudomonadati; Pseudomonadota; Alphaproteobacteria; Rhodospirillales; Rhodospirillaceae. The record is from RNAcentral.
GGAGGGGUGCCGGAGUGGUUGAACGGGGCAGUCUCGAAAACUGUUGAGCGUGCAAGCGUUCCGAGAGUUCGAAUCUCUCUCCCUCCGCCA